This is a long non-coding RNA of Pantherophis guttatus, 326 nucleotides long. RefSeq lists it as uncharacterized. The record is from RefSeq and is a predicted model, not a curated record. NCBI's taxonomy places the organism in Eukaryota, Metazoa, Chordata, Lepidosauria, Squamata, Colubridae.
CCUGUGAUACGCCAGUGCCUUGCACACAGCUGUCCUUGGGUUAGUCGGCAGGCAUUUGAAGACGUGUCAGCUAACAGAGCAAAACAGACCACAGUAUAAUGAAGUGGCGCUCUUCAAUGAAAUGAUUUGAAUGCCUCAUAUUGGAGAUACAUAGAAGCACUGGAGAAAAUCACCCUCAAGCUUCAAAUAUAGCUGCAAUUGAACAGUUUGUGAAUGACAGUUAAUUCCAGACCAGCAAAUAUUUCUUCCCAAAAGCUUCAUGUGGAUAAAUAAUUUCAGGUAUCUGUGAUUGCUUGGCUUAACCCCAGGAGACAGGAAAGAUUGAG